This 26-nucleotide non-coding RNA is filed under the name Cricetulus griseus (Chinese hamster). The record is from RNAcentral. Lineage: Eukaryota; Metazoa; Chordata; Mammalia; Rodentia; Cricetidae.
GUAGAGAACUGGGAAGUAGUGGCCUU